UUGAGGUUUACAUCGAUUAUACUUAAAAAAUCGAUGUUGUUUUGAUUAUAAAUUAAAAACCUGAAAUUGCACAUCCCGCGUGCUUGAACCCUAUCGUUCUUCUUCUUUCUCAUUCUGCCUGAGUUCGUCUUUGCCGCAAAUUGCCCUGCGCUUCCAUCACUGCAACCACGUUGUGGAGUUCGUCUCUACCACUUAUCGAUUGAGGUACGUUCUUUCAUUUUAACAUUAUGCGUUCCUCGUUUUAACAUUUGGUCACUUUCACAGCUCGAAGAAAGCUAGGAAAGGAAAGAGUCCCGGAAAGGGUGGGAAUCGAUUUUGGAAGUCCAUUGUGGUUGGCUUUAAGACUCCCAGGGAAGCCAUCGAAGAUUCCAUUAGGAGUAAUUUUAGCCAUUGUUGAUCCUGUGGUCAUUGCUGUUUCAAAAAGUGGUCCUACGGUCAUUGCUGGAAAGUCAAUUGUGCUGAAGCCUCGAACUCAGGAAGUAGUUGCAGAAGUGGUUCAAAAUUCAAUAUCCACGCGAAGCAUCAGCUUUGUUUAUUGAGUGCUCUCUCCUUACUGUUGAUUUAUAAUUCACUAGCUGCAUCAUCUUUGAUCUCAUCAUUUGAUAAAGGAUCAUGGCUUCUCCACCAGCCUCGCCUCCUCCUCCUUCCGACACUUCAGCUUCGCAGUCUGGCAUGAAGCAGACACAAAAAGCCUCACGUCUACGCUCCUUGUCUACUAGACCAGCUAGUGCUGAGAGACUAGUGGUCCACGUUGAUCUUGUUACUGGCAAGACCGACGGUCCCCACAAGAAGAAAUUAAGAACAUAUUUGGGGAUUGUGGUGCGUGAUAAGGUGGACGUGACGUUUGAGAACUGGAAGGA
Glycine soja is the source of this 860-nucleotide long non-coding RNA. RefSeq lists it as uncharacterized. The record is from RefSeq and is a predicted model, not a curated record. The transcript is spliced from 5 exons. Lineage: Eukaryota; Viridiplantae; Streptophyta; Magnoliopsida; Fabales; Fabaceae.